CCUACGGGUGGCAGCAGUGGGGAAUAUUGCACAAUGGGCGAAAGCUUGAUGCAGCGACGCAGCGUGAAGGAUGAAGGUCUUCGGAUCGUAAAGCGCUGUUAUCAGGGAAGAACGUUCACUGUAGUAAUCAGUUGUGGAUUGACGGUACCUUCAAAGAAAGCACUGGCUAACUCCGUGCCAGCAGCCGCGGUAAUACGUAGGGUGCCAGCGUUAAUCGGAAUUACUGGGCGUAAAGCCGUCGUAGGCCGUAUGUCAAGUCCGGGGGUAAAUCCCCGGGCUCAACCUGAGCAUUGCAUUUGAUACUGGCAAACUAGAGUGUGUUAGAGGAAAGUGGAAUUCCAGGUGAAGGAGUGAAAUGCGUAGAUAUAUGGAAGAACACCAGUGGCGAAGGCGACUUACUGGGACAAUACUGACGCUGAGGGACGAAAGCGUGGGUAGCAAACAGGAUUAGAUACCCCAGUAGUC
This 465-nucleotide ribosomal RNA is filed under the name uncultured bacterium. RNAcentral describes it as "partial 16S ribosomal RNA". It matches the Rfam family "Bacterial small subunit ribosomal RNA", at positions 338 to 795 of the family's 1533-position model. The record is from RNAcentral.